UGAUCGGAGCUAUUUCUUCUGUUGUUACUUUGUUAUGUUUCAAAAUAAGUUAAAUUAGGUCCAAAUUAAUUUUUGGUUCUUGAUUGAUCAUUUUGGGAGAAAUCUAAUGGCAAAAAUGGUUCAAGAUUCCAUCAAACCUCAAGAUGUAUGCAUUGUGGGUGUUGCCCGAACGCCUAUGGGUGGUUUCCUUGGUUCUCUCUCGUCUUUGUCUGCUACAGAGCUUGGUUCUGCAGCAAUCCGAGCUGCCCUUAAGAGAGCAAAUGUAGAUCCAUCCCUUGUUCAAGAGGUCUUCUUUGGAAAUGUUCUCAGCGCAAACUUAGGUCAAGCCCCAGCUAGACAGGCUGCCUUAGGAGCUGGGAUACCUUAUUCAGUGAUUUGCACAACCAUUAACAAAGUGUGUUCUUCAGGACUUAAAGCAACAAUGAUUGCAGCCCAGACUAUACAAUCAGGAGCCAAUGAUAUCGUUGUGACUGGUGGCAUGGAAAGCAUGUCUAAUGUACCAAAAUACCUAGCUCAAGCAAGGAAGGGGUCUCGUCUAGGGCAUGAUACUGUUGUAGAUGGCAUGCUAAAAGAUGGACUCUGGGAUGUCUAUAAUGAUUUCGGCAUGGGCGUCUGUGCAGAACUAUGUGCUGAUCAGUAUAAAAUUACAAGAGAAGAGCAGGAUUCUUAUGCUAUUCAAAGCUUUGAGCGAGGAAUUGCUGCACAACGUACUGGUGCAUUUGCUUGGGAAAUAGUACCAGUAGAAAUUUCUGGUGGAAGAGGAAGACCAUCUAGUGUUGUCGAUAAAGAUGAAGGCUUAAUAAAGUUUGAUGCCUCCAAACUAAGAAAGCUUAGACCAAGUUUCAAGGAGAAUGGAGGUUCUGUUACUGCAGGCAAUGCUUCCAUUAUAAGUGAUGGCGCUGCAGCAUUAGUUCUGGUGAGUGGAAAAAAGGCGAUUGAACUUGGAUUGCAAGUAAUCGGUAGGAUCAGAGGAUUUGCAGAUGCAGCUCAGGCACCUGAAUUAUUUCCAACAGCUCCAGCUCUUGCUAUACCAAAAGCAAUUAAGAAUUCUGGCCUUGAGUCAUCUCAAAUUGAUUAUUAUGAAAUAAACGAAGCGUUCUCUGUUGUGGCUCUGGCCAACCAAAGACUGCUCAAUCUUAAUUCGGGAAAACUAAAUGCACACGGUGGAGCUGUGUCAUUGGGACAUCCUCUAGGGUGCAGUGGAGCUAGAAUUCUGGUAACUCUUUUAGGGGUAUUGAAGCAAAAGAAUGCGAAAUUUGGU
Molecule: unclassified non-coding RNA, 1261 nt
Filed under: Hevea brasiliensis (rubber tree)
Lineage: Eukaryota; Viridiplantae; Streptophyta; Magnoliopsida; Malpighiales; Euphorbiaceae
Source: RNAcentral